RNAcentral lists this ribosomal RNA (358 nucleotides) under uncultured bacterium. RNAcentral describes it as "bacterial SSU rRNA". It matches the Rfam family "Bacterial small subunit ribosomal RNA", at positions 917 to 1271 of the family's 1533-position model. The record is from RNAcentral.
GGACCCGCACAAGUAGUGGAGCAUGUGGUUUAAUUCGAAGAUACGCGCAGAACCUUACCAACACUUGACAUGUUCGUCGCGACUCUAAGAGAUUAGAGUUUUCGGUUCGGCCGGACGAAACACAGGUGCUGCAUGGCUGUCGUCAGCUCGUGUCGUGAGAUGUUGGGUUAAGUCCCGCAACGAGCGCAACCCUCACUUUUAGUUGCCAUCAUUAAGUUGGGCACUCUGAAAGAACUGCCCGUGAUAAGCGGGAGGAAGGUGUGGAUGACGUCAAGUCCUCAUGGCCCUUACGGGUUGGGCUACACACGUGCUACAAUGGUAGGUACAGAGGGAAGCCACCCCCGCGAGGGGGAGCGGA